AGUGAACGCUGGCGGUAGGCCUAACACAUGCAAGUCGAACGGCAGCACAGUAAGAGCUUGCUCUUACGGGUGGCGAGUGGCGGACGGGUGAGGAAUACAUCGGAAUCUACUUUUUCGUGGGGGAUAACGUAGGGAAACUUACGCUAAUACCGCAUACGACCUACGGGUGAAAGCAGGGGAUCUUCGGACCUUGCGCGAUUGAAUGAGCCGAUGUCGGAUUAGCUAGUUGGCGGGGUAAAGGCCCACCAAGGCGACGCUCCGUAGCUGGUCUGAGAGGAUGAUCAGCCACACUGGAACUGAGACACGGUCCAGACUCCUACGGGAGGCAGCAGUGGGGAAUAUUGGACAAUGGGCGAAAGCCUGAUCCAGCCAUACCGCGUGGGUGAAGAAGGCCUUCGGGUUGUAAAGCCCUUUUGUUGGGAAAGAAAAGCAGCAGGUUAAUACCCCGCUGUUCUGACGGUACCCAAAGAAUAAGCACCGGCUAACUUCGUG
Molecule: ribosomal RNA, 492 nt
Filed under: uncultured bacterium
Lineage: Bacteria
Description: partial 16S ribosomal RNA
Rfam family: Bacterial small subunit ribosomal RNA
Source: RNAcentral